This 1119-nucleotide long non-coding RNA is filed under the name Takifugu rubripes (torafugu). RNAcentral describes it as "lncRNA (ENSTRUG00000029861.1)". The record is from RNAcentral. Lineage: Eukaryota; Metazoa; Chordata; Actinopteri; Tetraodontiformes; Tetraodontidae.
AUGCAGAGUUGUAGUCUUACACACCUCUCUGCUGCUUCCUUAGAACCCUCAUCCACCAACAAUAACAUAUUUAACACUGUAGAGGUAGUCUCUGUUCCACAGUUAAAAGUUCACCAAGCACAGAGCAGGGGAGCGGUCAAUCACCAUAAUCUUAUUAAAAUUAAUACUGAAGCACAAGUUGGAGAAACUAAUAUCACAAUUAAGUGUGGACUGUUAAAUAUUAGAUCUCUUUUGUGUAAAUCCCUGUUAGUACACGACCUGAUAGCGGAUCAUCACAUUGAUUUAUUUUGUCUUACUGAGACCUGGCUUCAGGAGGAGGAGUAUGUUAGCUUAAAUGAAUCUACUCCUCCUACCCAUCUUAAUUAUCAUAUUCCACGUGUUACUGGUCGAGGAGGGGGAGUGGCAGCAAUCUGUCACUCCAAGUUAUUAAUUAAUCCCAGACCAAAACAUGGCUUCAGUUCAUUUGAAAGCCUGACUCUUGGCAUCACUCAUCUGAACUGGAGGACAGAAAAGCCACUUCUGUUUGUAGUUGUAUAUCGGCCCCCUGCUGGUCCACAUUCAGAGUUCCUGUCUGAGUUCUCUGAUUUCUUAUCUGACUUGGUCCUUAGAACGGACAAAGUCAUUAUCAUUGGAGACUUUAAUAUCCAUAUGGACGUUAUAAAUGACAGCUUUAGAAAUGGCUUCAUUUCAUUACUUGAGUCAGUUGGUUUCCUCCAGCAGAUAAACCAACCAACUCAUAGCUUUAACCACACCCUAGAUCUAGUCCUGAUUUAUGGUGUUGAGGUAGAACAUGUGUCAGUGUUCCCUCAGAACCCAGUCCUGUCAGACCAUUCUUUGAUCACUUUUACAUUUAUGAUUAAGGAUUCUUCUAUCCUCAGAGCACAGUCUUACUAUAGCAGAUGUCUUUCAGAUAAUGCUGUAGCUAAGUUUAAGGAAGCGAUCCCUGUGCUGAUCCCAGGACCACCGUGUGUUUCCCCAAGGAUAAAUCACUAUAAUCUUAGCCCUGCUGAGGUUGACUCUGUUGCUGAAGGUACAGCAACCUCACUGAGAAUCACACUUGAUUCUGUUGCCCCCCUGAAAAAGAAAAUAGUAAAUCAGAGGAGGUGCGCCAGUAACUGA